CAACCCUCAAGCCCCCGGGCUUGGUGUUGGGGCUCGGCCCGUCCCCAGCGGCGCGCCGUCCCCGAAAUCUAGUGGUGGUCUCGCUGCAGCCUCCCCUGCGUAGUAGCUAACACCUCGCAACGGGGACUGAGCGCGGCCGCGCCGUUAAACCCCAACUCCUGAA
RNAcentral lists this unclassified non-coding RNA (163 nucleotides) under uncultured Fusicolla. RNAcentral's name for it is "sequence contains ITS2". The record is from RNAcentral. Lineage: Eukaryota; Fungi; Ascomycota; Sordariomycetes; Hypocreales; Nectriaceae.